UUGAUACUAGGUAGCACUUGGUUGUAUCAUUUUUUUUAAAAAAAAAUAGGUCUUAAUUUAUUUAUUUUUUUGAAGAGGAAAAACAUUUUUUGUAAAAGACAAAAACACUUAAUUUUAUAUAUGCACUAUCCUUUUUUUUUUUAUCAAUAUUUUUAUUAAAAUUGAGUAAUCCACCCACAGACCCAUAGUCACAGCCUCACAACUUUAUUCAUCCCUCUUAUUUCUCCAUCCCCCAAGCUUUUAUUUUUGCGUUCGAUGUCUUCUUUUUCAUUCCUCCUCUCAUUCGCUCAAUCAGCCAUUCUUUCUUCUCUCUCCCUCUUCCUCCCUCCUUCCCUCUCUUCUCAAAGAUGAAAGAGCAGCCGCAGAAGAUCACAUCCACAAAAAAAAAAAAAAAAUGGCGGAAUAUCACGAACUAGAGGAUAGAUAAGUUGGAAUAGUGGUGGUGUUCGAUACUCCGAUUUCAAGUUCAAUUUCGCCUAUCAAACCCUAAUUAAUCUCAUGAAACUACAACAUUCUCAGAAAAAUUAAUUGAAGGAGAGAGCAUCUCAAUAGCAACUUCCACUCCAUCUUUCAAUCAACUGCAAAUCCACCUAUUUCUAGUUCUCUCCGAAAGCCUUUUGUCAGACCAAAAAUGAAAGAAAACCACCUGUAAGUAUGACAAAGAGAGUGACAUAGGCUGCUACUGGUGCAAUGAAGGCUUUCUUUUUCUUUUGUGCUCGAGCAAAGAGCUAGGUUACGCUCGACAGUCCACACUUUAAUUGCAAGGGUAUGUAACGAAGUUGGUUUACUUUACUGAUUUGCUCCAAUUGAACCCAAAGUAAUAUUGGAAGGUGAGGCAAAUUUUAGAAUGAUUAGAGGAAAGGGUUGCUGUAAGCUGUAAUCUUGUAUAUUCUUCCAACUUAUAAGAUGUAAUGUUAAGUUGUUUACUUAUAGAAGAUUUCUUUAUAGCAAGUAUAUGUACUUAGGUUUUGAUGCUUACUUGAUGCUACUACUACUACUGUUGCAUGUUGCUGCUGUUCUGCAUAUGUGCUGCCAUUCUGCAUAUGCUGCUGCUGUUCUGUUACUGUUGUUGCUGCUCUACAUAGGUGCUGCUGUUGUUCUGCUACUGCUUGUGCUGUUCUUAUGUGCUGCUACUGUUCGGUUUCCGAGCUGUUGUUGUUCUCCUUCUGAGCUGCCGCUGUUCUAUUUCCAAGCUGCUGUUGGCCUGUUGUUUGGUUCAUUGUAUUUUUUUUUUUUGAUGAAAUUGUAAUAUUACAAGCAUUUAUUAUUCAUAAUAUAUAAGUUUAUAUACAUAUACAUAUAUACAAUGGCUUGUUUAUCAAUUUCACAUUUUUGUAGGCAUAAAAGGCACAGUGGCACUUAUUUAUGUUAGGGGCAACGAUUUGGCACUUGAAC
Chenopodium quinoa (quinoa) is the source of this 1395-nucleotide long non-coding RNA. RefSeq lists it as uncharacterized. The transcript has 3 exons. NCBI's taxonomy places the organism in Eukaryota, Viridiplantae, Streptophyta, Magnoliopsida, Caryophyllales, Amaranthaceae. The record is from RefSeq and is a predicted model, not a curated record.